CCAAUAGCGCAUAUUAAAGUUGUUGCAGUUAAAAAGCUCGUAGUUGAAUUUCGGGAUCAAUAUGUCGGUCGUGCCUUCGGUACGUACUGGUAUCAUUGGUCUCUCCUUUCUGACGAACCAUGAUGUCAUUAAUUUGGUGUUAUGGGGAGUUAGGACUGUUACUUUGAAAAAAUUAGAGUGUUUAAAGCAGGCUUUAGCUUGAAUACAUUAGCAUGGAAUAAUGAAAUAGGACGUUCGAACCUAUUUUGUUGGUUUCUAGGAUCAACGUAAUGAUUAAUAGGGAUAGUUGGGGGCAUUAGUAUUCAAUUGUCAGAGGUGAAAUUCUUGGAUUUAUUGAAGACUAACUACUGCGAAAGCAUUUGCCAAGGAUGUUUUCAUUAAUCAAGAACGAAAGUUAGGGGAUCGAAGACGAUCAGAUACCGUCGUAGUCUUAACCAUAAACUAUGCCGACUAGGGAUCGGAUGAUGUUAAUUUUUUAAUGACUCAUUCGGCGCCUUACG
Molecule: ribosomal RNA, 500 nt
Filed under: uncultured Glomeromycotina
Lineage: Eukaryota; Fungi; Glomeromycota
Description: partial small subunit ribosomal RNA
Rfam family: Eukaryotic small subunit ribosomal RNA
Source: RNAcentral